This 253-nucleotide ribosomal RNA is filed under the name uncultured bacterium. RNAcentral's name for it is "partial 16S ribosomal RNA". It matches the Rfam family "Bacterial small subunit ribosomal RNA", at positions 524 to 776 of the family's 1533-position model. The record is from RNAcentral.
UACGGAGGGGGCAAGCGUUGUUCGGAAUUACUGGGCGUAAAGGGCUCGUAGGCGGCCAACUAAGUCGGACGUGAAAUCCCCAGGCUCAACUUGGGAACUGCGUCCGAUACUGGAUGGCUUGAAUUCGGGAGAGGGAUGCAGAAUUCCAGGUGUAGCGGUGAAAUGCGUAGAUAUCUGGAGGAAUACCGGUGGCGAAGGCGGCAUCCUGGACCGACAUUGACGCUGAGGAGCGAAAGCGAGGGGAGCAAACGGG